RNAcentral lists this long non-coding RNA (5468 nucleotides) under Homo sapiens (human). Its description in RNAcentral is "non-protein coding lnc-ERMN-4:1". The record is from RNAcentral. Lineage: Eukaryota; Metazoa; Chordata; Mammalia; Primates; Hominidae.
UGUGAGCCCCGGGGAGCGGGACCCGUACCAGGCGCGCCCAGCGGGGGAUGCGGUGACCGAGGGGCCGGGAGCGCCGGGCAGGUAACGUAUCCUGGACCUAGAGUCGGGGGACUUUGUUUGGGGCGGGAGGAGCGGAACAGGGGUGGGUGUGAACGCCGGACGGCCCUUCCGGGACUCCUGUCCCCCCUCCUUCGCCCCACUCGCCUGCGCGCUGGAAGCCAAUCUGGGUGUGUAGCGCGAAGAGCGAAAGAGAAACUUCUGCGUGACUGACUAGAUGAGGCUCCUCCCGAGAAGCCGAGAUAAUAGAGGCCCCCUCUCCCGCCGCCCGCCUUUUUCUCCUCCCCCGGCCGCUCGCUCCUGUCGCCCCACCCCUCGAAGGCUGGCGCGGAUUUUAGGGACUUCCUGGGAUGCGGAGAUCGGCUCUGAACCAUCCCCUUUCUGCUGCCCGGAGCUGGGGAAGCUCGCUGUGGAGCGUCUCGCACGUGGCAGGCAGGCAGAGAACUUGCUGCACCUUCUAGGAAAUUGCAAUCGAUUUGUAAUGCACUUUCGCUAAUUGGGAGUUCAAAAUUAAACUUUAAUAAAGCAUUCGUGUCGUCUCGUCUAAUUGUGAAAGCUUCCAUCCGUCCUGGUAGAUAGACUCUAAGUCUCAAGUUAAUGGCGCUAAGCUAGAUUUUCCCCCCAAGUACAAUUCCGUCAGCCGUCGUCGGCGCAGCUGGAUUUCCGUAAGGUACAGAUGUUGCUAAUGACAGCUUAAGCACGGAUGGGCAGAUAGCAUACGGAAUGCAACAUGUUGCCAUAUGGUUCCUUUAGCCUUUCACCUCCAGGGAUAUCAAUCACAUAUAUUCUGGGAGGAACUUAAUGACUCUCUGAACAGCAAAAUGAAUUACCUGGUACAAUUUAUAUCCCUUGACCUGAUACGUUAUAACAACAGGAAGAUAGCAUCUCGCAAUUUCUGUGGUAUAAAUUGAACUACAGAGCUACAUUUAAAAUUCUACAUCUAUUUGUAGUUUAAGGGGCCCUGUCAUAUUCUGGCUGUAAAAUCUGUUUCUGUAUUGCCCAUCUCCUUCCCCCUCCUACCUCUGGAGGAAGCAAAAUUUAUAAAGUUUAGCAAAACUGGUGUCGGAAAUUGCCAGUCAACUGAUUAAUAGAUGAAGUAUGGAGAAAUGGAAAAUAUGACUUCCAGAGCUACUUACUUCAACAAGAAUUAGCCAUCUUUAGGAACACCAUACUUUUAAGCGUACAAAAUUAAAGAACUCCAGAAAAUGUAUUUUCUGCUAGUUGUUUCAGUAUAGCUCCUAAAUCUAUUCAUUAACUAUUUGAAAUUCUCCAUUUAUUUUCAAACUUCAACCAUUCCUACACUUUGGAAAUUACAGAAGACAGUUCUCAGAAAUAUGAAAUACAGGAAAUGUAAGUAGCACCUCCUCAGCGAACCAGUUUCUGUACCCACAACCCCAUGCACUCACUAUUUAUGUAGCUUAAUUUGAAUCAUGUACAUGGUGGUACUGGUAGUUUGCUUUUUCCUCCCAACAUGUCAGUGACAGCAUACUUAAGUUGCUGCUUCUCUCCUAGUGGAGUGAUUCUGCAAUAUUUCACAGGUCUCAUUUUUAAAUAUCCUGGUGACUAAUAAAAUGUUUUAAUUGAUUGCCUUUAAUUUCAGAUUAUAAACGUGGUUGUCUUACUGUAUCCUUUAUUUUCUAUUCACUAAUACAGAUAGAUCACACGGGAAGACAAUACUUUAAGGGCAAAAAGUAAAAUAACUUACUAGAAUUUCUAAACUUUAUGUUUACUUUUACCUACUAAGGGAUAUCUGAAAGGUAGAGACAUACUUUUAAAACUUUUUGCUUCUGGCACUAUGUAAACAUUAAUUCAUGUAAACUAAUGACUAGCAGAAUGCCUAAGAUAGACAUGAACAGUCUGAAAAAGUAUUUACUUUCAGUCAUGUCAAGUUUCGGAAAGUGUUAACAUUUUGAAAGUUUGUCUAUAUAUCAUGUCCUUUCAUAAUUAUUGUGAAAUUAUAAGACGAUGCUUCUCCUUUUUUUUUUCCUUUGUAGUGGCUGAUUUGUUACCUAGUGCUUUAGUUCGAUAAUUUUGAUAAUUAUUAUCAAAUAAGAUCCUUUGUGUGUGUAUAUAGGAGAAAAUCUUAUACAGAACACAUUAAGAUAUACAUAAGUUAUGGCAAUCUUGUCUUCUGGGGCUGUUUUUUAAAUCUUUUAAUGGCUGAGGUUUUAUUUCUCUUUGUAGCACCAGCACUCGAUGUGUCUUAAAUGUGAUCAGUAGUGAUGGUGAGCUUGUCAAUAAUGACUCCAUCUCCAUGACUUGUGAAUAGGCGGUGAGUGUGUCCUUUAAUCAGUCACACAGAACUUGCUUUAUAAAGCUGUUAUUGUCAUGAACAGAUAUUGCAGUCUUGUCAGGCCCAGUGAUUAUUAAAGUGUUCCUUCUUCAAAAGCCAGGCCGAAAGUCCUGCUGUGCUUCAUUUCACAAUUGAAGUCCAUUAGUAAAUAAAAUCCCAAGCCGCACGAUUUGCUGUUCCUCAAGUUAUAGGCUUACAUAUAUUUCAUUAAUAAUCUUGGGCCCUUUUGUAGACAUAAGUAGGUAUAUUUUUGGUAUAUAUAUAUGGCAACAAAAAUAAAAUAUGUAUCUUGCAGCAUGACUUUUAUUUUAAAUGAAGAUUUGAUGGAUGUCCAUUGUUACUCUAAAUGAGGUGGCUGGCUGCCAAGGGAAACCCUACAGUCAGAAAGUACUAGAAUUGUUACUAUCUACAGGGAAUCACUUUCUAUUUUUUGAGUUCUCAACUUCACCUCCUCCUUUCAAUAGUGCCCCUCCAUAUUGCUAAUCUGAGAAUUAGUCUGAAUAUGAAAACUUUUGAAAAUAUGUUUGUGUUGUCCAAGAAAAAUUUCACCAGUGUUUCUGGUUGCCUGCUGGUUUUCAGCCUUUAUCUUGAGUGGGCAUGUUUAUUCUAACUGAAUGAAGAAUGACUAUUGAAUUAGGUAUAUUCCCCAUGCCAAAUAAUUUUAACUGUGAUGUAAUCCUAGCCGCUUUCUUAUUUUUACUCCCGAAUAAAUUUAAAAUAUUUAAGAUUGGCCAGGUGUCUGUUUUUCUCAGGGUAACAUGGGACAGCUAUGGAUAGGCAUUAGGCCUCUCAUAGAACUCUUCAUUCAAGUGAGUGUGGCUGAGAGGAACAACCAGGAAAGAGUAUAGUGCCCCAUUGCACUUGCCCUGUUGGCUUUUCAAAUGCAAAAUCCACGUUGUUGCAUUUGGAAACUUGUUUCUCUGUUUUAUGGUAUUUCAUUUAAGAAUUUUUUUUAACUGCCAGUCUGUAAAUAUUUAACCAGCCAAGCAGGAAACAGCCUUUUAUUCUCGACUGUAUACAGCUUUUGUUUUUAUCUGGGUUAGCAUGGGUGCCAUGUAAAUACCAUAUAAAAUUUGACUUUGGUUGUCCUUACUUUGAAGAUUGACAGGGGUUUCUUUAAUUAAUCUUGUUUCCUUUCAUGUUCUGUAUUGAGAUAUUGAAAUACAGUAUUUUAUACAUUUAUAGGAUUGUGUUUGCAUUUAUUUAAUUUAUGUUUCUUUUUUUGAAGCAUGUAGCCUUGAAUGUUUGUUCUACCCUUUUUUUUUUUUUCACAUCAUUACUCUGGUGCUGCUUGAUGUAACUUGAUUAGCUCCCUCCCCAGUCAUGAUUGGUAAUUAAAAUAGGCAUUAAAAUUAGUCACUUAGCAAUUUUGCUGUUCAAUUGGCAAUUAAAUUACUUAAUUGCAAUUAAAGUCCUAAUUUUAAUUGGCAAAAUGAUAGAUGUAGAUUUAAGAUAAUAUGUAUAAAUACUUUAAUAAGUGUCUAUAUAAGGAUUACUUAAUUACUCAACUUCAAGUUUAUGCUGUUAACUUUAGAACUUUUAAGUGAGCAAUGAAAUUUAUAUUACAUCUAUUCAAAGGAUAUGGUAAUUAGAUUUAUUACUUAUCACUAUAAGGGUCCUUGCUUUAAGUUACUUUUGUAGUGUUAAAAUUGUAGGCUUGAUAAUUGCAGAAUUCUGAUGAGAAAAAGGGCAUAUAUGUCUCUGUUGCAAUAUUAUCAAUACCUUCAUUUUUAAAAUUAAAUUGAGACAUUCCAUCCACCAAUUAGUCUGAGGAAAAAAUCAAAAGUGGUUAUUUUAUCAUUAAAGAUAGAACAAAAACUAGCCAGCUUGUGAUUUACAUAUAAAAACUUGCAAAAUGUAUGUAUUUUAUCUAAAUUUAAAUAAAUGCUAUCUAAUACUGGUAGUGUUAUAAUGCUAUUAACUACUUUUAGAAUUUGCAGAUAUUUGAUGUUUUCUUAGCAUGUAGCAACUUAUUUUCAUAAUCUUUAAACUGUCUUUUAGGACUUUGUACAUUUUAGUGAUGCCUAUGUUUACUAAAAUUAGCAAUGAAAUCUAAAACCAAAGUUAUUCUUCUUUGCCUAAUAAAAAAUAGUUCUUAAAUAAGAAAAUAUUAAGUGGUUAAUUUAAAAGCAAGUAUUUAGGAGAUGGUUACUGGGUGUCAAGUAUUAACAAAAAAUGAAGGAUUUUUAUUAUGCAAAAUACUUUUUGAGUGGCAUGAGGUUUUACCAUAUGUUCAGUUUUAUAAUUUCAAUUUACAAGAAGAUGCUUCCAGAAAAAAGAAUGCUGUUUUUUUUCUGCACAUCUUUACACAUUUCUAGUACUGAGUUCUGUAUCAAAGAAAGAAAUAAUUUUAAAAGUAUUUGUGUUAAGUGGUUUUUGGUAAAAAUCGGCUGAGAAAUACUGAAUAAAAGCUACAACUAUCCAAAAUGUGAAUAUUAACAAAGCAAUUGACUUGUUCUUUAACCAUCCUAUGAGAAAGGAACAAACAAUUUGGUCAAUUACUAUCCUGUCAAUGCAAAUGAAAUGGCAAAAGCAAAACAAUAAAAACACUUUCAGAAGUAAAAACUAAUUUUGUAUUUUCAGAAACAGAUUUUUUUCAAAGUGAAAAUUUAUUUCUUGUAUCAGUAAUGUGACUUACUGCCCAAUGGCAACAAAUGCUGUGAAUGAGUUUGUCCAAAUGUAAUUUAAAAUAUAUAUCUUGUAAUGCUAAAAAUAGGUUCUACAAAGUAAUUUUAUUAUGAAAAAUCUUAAAGUUGCCUCAACUCGUAAAGCAUAACAGGUAUGUCUGUUUCACUAUAUCUGCAUUGUAAGGUCUAUUCUGAAUUCAUUUGGGAAGAAUGGUGAAAUAAAUCCCUAAAGGCCUCUUUCCUAUGCAUUAAAAUAGAAAAUCCUAUGGGAUUACAUUCAUGUUUGCUUUCUAAAUUAUGCCAAAAGCUCAAUUUUAUUAAGUAUAAUCUGCCUAGCCAUGCAUAAAAUAAACUACUUUGGUUUAGAUGUGAGUAUAUGUAUUAUUUAUGUUGAUUUUUAAUGAAAAUAUGUUUACAUGUACCAAUAUGUUCUGCCUAAUAUUGGUUAAUGUCAUAAAAGAUAAUAUAGUAACAUUACUUUCCUAAAUGUU